UGACGGGGCCGCACAAGCGGAGGAACAUGUGGUUAAUUCGAUGAUACGCGAGGAACCUUACCUGGGCUUAAAUGUAGAGUGCAUUUUUAGAGAUAGAAAUUCCCUUCGGGGCUUUCUGCAAGGUGCUGCAUGGUUGUCGUCAGCUCGUGCCGUGAGGUGUCGGGUUAAGUCCCAUAACGAGCGCAACCCUUAUCGUUAGUUGCCAUCUGGUAAUGCAGGGGACUCUAGCGAAACUGCCACCGUAAGGUGAGAGGAAGGUGGGAUGACGUCAAAUCAGCACGGCCCUUAUGUCCAGGGCUACACACGUGUUACAAUGGUCGGUACAGAGGGCAGCUACCUGGUGACAGGAUGCUAAUCUCGAAAACCGGUCUCAGUUCGGAUCGAAGUCUGCAACUCGACUUCGUGAAGCUGGAUUCGCUAGUAAUCGCGCAUCAGCUAUGGCGCGGUGAAUACGUUCCCGGGCCUU
This 466-nucleotide ribosomal RNA is filed under the name uncultured Sphingobacteriales bacterium. RNAcentral's name for it is "bacterial SSU rRNA". It matches the Rfam family "Bacterial small subunit ribosomal RNA", at positions 917 to 1381 of the family's 1533-position model. The record is from RNAcentral. Lineage: Bacteria; Pseudomonadati; Bacteroidota; Sphingobacteriia; Sphingobacteriales.